Molecule: small nuclear RNA, 104 nt
Filed under: Canis lupus familiaris (dog)
Lineage: Eukaryota; Metazoa; Chordata; Mammalia; Carnivora; Canidae
Also listed under: 1 other name
Description: U4 spliceosomal RNA
Rfam family: U4 spliceosomal RNA
About the family: U4 small nuclear RNA (U4 snRNA) is a component of the major U2-dependent spliceosome. The structure of U4 snRNA from yeast and human has been reported.
Source: Rfam by way of RNAcentral
AGCUUUGCUCAGUGGCAGUAUCAUAGCCAAUGAGGCUUAUCCGAGGCACGAUUAUUGCUAAUGGAAAACUUUUCCCAAUUCAGUGAUUUGUGAAUGAAAUAGAA